AGCAGCCGCGGUAAUUCCAGCUCCAAUAGCGUAUAUUAAAGUUGUUGCAGUUAAAAGCUCGUAGUUGAAUUUCGGGAUCAAUAUGUUGGUCGUGCCUCGGUACGUACUAGCUUAUUGGUUUCUCCUUUCUGAAGAACCAUGAUGUCAUUUAUUUGGUGUCGUGGGGAAUCAGGACUGUUACUUUGAAAAAAUUAGAGUGUUUAAAGCAGGCUCACGCUUGAAUACAUUAGCAUGGAAUAAUGAAAUAGGACGUUUGAUUCUAUUUUGUUGGUUUCUAGGAUCGACGUAAUGAUUAAUAGGGAUAGUUGGGGGCAUUAGUAUUCAAUUGUCAGAGGUGAAAUUCUUGGAUUUAUUGAAGACUAACUACUGCGAAAGCAUUUGCCAAGGAUGUUUUCAUUAAUCAAGAACGAAAGUUAGGGAUCGAAGACGAUCAGAUACCGUCGUAGUCUUAACCAUAAACUAUGCCGACUAGGGAUCGGAUGAUGUUAAUUUUUAAUGUACUCAUUCGGCG
RNAcentral lists this unclassified non-coding RNA (511 nucleotides) under uncultured Glomus. RNAcentral describes it as "SSU rRNA". It matches the Rfam family "Eukaryotic small subunit ribosomal RNA", at positions 569 to 1085 of the family's 1831-position model. The record is from RNAcentral. Lineage: Eukaryota; Fungi; Glomeromycota; Glomeromycetes; Glomerales; Glomeraceae.